CCAGAUCACCAUGAACGAUCUGCCAGUGGGACGAUCUGUAGAUGAGACUAUUCGACUGGUUCAGGCCUUCCAGUACACGGUUACCCAUGGAGAGGUAUGUCCAGCGGGUUGAAGGCCAGGUGCCGAUACGAUCGUUCCCAACCCAGAGGAGAAAACCAAGUAUUUUGCCAAGAACAACUAAGGACAGAUGGCCAUCCCAUUAGCAGCCAAGCCCAGUUCGUUCCAAGUGUUCACGACUGAAUCACGACUAAAUCGAACAAAAGACCCCCAUCGCCUGAGUCCUCUGUACCAAUGUCCGUAGUGCCACCGAUUGCAAAUGGUUUGCAUUUGUUUUGUAAAAAAUAUAGUUUGUUUAUUUUACAGCAUAACUGAGAGAUAAAUAAAUUGAUGAAGUACA
Molecule: long non-coding RNA, 397 nt
Organism: Drosophila suzukii
Lineage: Eukaryota; Metazoa; Arthropoda; Insecta; Diptera; Drosophilidae
Source: RefSeq, a predicted model, not a curated record